This is a long non-coding RNA of Rhinolophus ferrumequinum (greater horseshoe bat), 1717 nucleotides long. The record is from Ensembl. Lineage: Eukaryota; Metazoa; Chordata; Mammalia; Chiroptera; Rhinolophidae.
AUGCGCUGGCUUUUCUGGGAAAGAUGUGCUGCCAAGAUUUGUUUUGGAUUCACUUGCAGGGGUGAGAACUUGGAAUUAGAUGGAAAUCUUGCUUUCCUAUUGGGAAUCCAGGUGGAUUGCUACCUUGAAGUUACUGCACUGAACAGUGGCUUAAACAAAGCAGGGGUUUUGUUCUCUAGUAACAAGGAGGUUGGGGUAGGUGAUUGCUGUGUUGGUUCAGCAGCUCACAGAUGUCAGGGUCAGGGUGGCCUCUCGGGUGCCCUUGCCUUUCCCUCAGGUGGCUGCAGUUCCCCUAAAGAAGCUGGAGAAGGCCAAAGGUCAUGCCAGUUCGAAUUGCUCCCUUUUAGAGAGUUUUCUCAGCCGCCCAACAACUGCCAGACUGUGUCACUGGCUACUGCUAUCCACAGAGUGGCCUGAGAAAUAUAGUCUUGGUAGCUGGGCAUAUAACUGCCUUCAACAAAAAUCUGAGUUCUCGUCAUGAGGUAGAUGAUGAUAGAUCUGGAGUGAACAACUAGCCUGUGUCCUGGCUACAAAGUACAGCUGUAAAGGCGCACAGCUUCGGGGCAGAUCAGCACUCUAGCACCUUCACAGGUGGCCGCCCGCCCAGCACCGCUGCUCUGCUCGCAGAGAGCGAGCGCAGAGUGAAGACGGGCUAGGCUUUCUUGCCAGCACUUGCCAAGACUGAGCUGGACUCUCAGCCAAUACACUUGCCCACAUCAGGAUUUUCCAGAGGAGGACCCUGGGAACGUGCACACUCCCUUGGUGGACAUACUCUCUUUAUGGAGGUUCGGAAUGGCAUGAAGAAUAUUCCUACCUUGCUGCUUCCUCAUCGGCUUCAUGUUUCUCUUCUCCAAUUUUCCUGACAGAUUUUUGGAGGAGUCUUGUUUGUGUAUGUGAUCUCCAUACAAGGAUCAUCCCUUUCAUGCCCAGAGGAGGGUCUAUGUAAAGAAAGCUGCUUUACCCCUUUUUGUGACUCCACUACCAAUCUAGGAAUCUCCUGGGUGAAAAACUGCUUCUCAAAACUGCUUCUAUAAGCAGCCCACACCCUGGCUAAGCAAAGGGAGAGGAAACACUUCCCACGUCCAGGGCUGUUCAAAAGAACUUUCUGUGAUGACAGAAAUGUUCUGUCUGCACUGUCCAAGAGGGCAGCCCCUAGCCCCAGUGAACACUUGAAAUGUGGCUAGUGUGACAUUUACAUAAAAAGUACAUUGUAAGUAAUGUAAAUGCAAGUGGCCACGUGUGGCUGGUGGCUGUGGUGUGGCACAGCGGGGCACACACGGCAUCUUGCACUUUAGAGCCAGCUGGGAGGGGUUUGAGCCAGCCCUGCGCCAGGCGUUCCGUGGUCUUCACUAUUCCGCCUUGCCGUUGAACUUGUCUUCUGGAGAAAAAGGAAAAAAUGGAACUAAAUUCAAGAUGUUCACUUGACAUCUCCUCAUUGCACGCAUAAUGGAGAGGGGUCUCCUGGGAAUCGGUCCUGUGAUUGAUUUUAGCGAUUAUUGAUAAUGGGAAAAUGGCGGAGCUGAUCCACGUAGCAAUUCCUAGGGAACAUUGUGUGUUCCUGGUCAGAUAAGUCAGCGGAGAUUAUUUUGUUCUAUUGUGCAAUUCAUUGUGUUACUUUAUUUUUGUUGUAUUAUGGCUGCUAAAUGAUGAUUUCGUGUAUGUUUUUCAAAAUACUUAGUGGUUUAUAUUUUUUUAAAGGCUGUGAAAUAAAAAAUAA